RNAcentral lists this ribosomal RNA (392 nucleotides) under Klebsiella sp. RNAcentral's name for it is "bacterial SSU rRNA". It matches the Rfam family "Bacterial small subunit ribosomal RNA", at positions 62 to 452 of the family's 1533-position model. The record is from RNAcentral. Lineage: Bacteria; Pseudomonadati; Pseudomonadota; Gammaproteobacteria; Enterobacterales; Enterobacteriaceae.
UCGAGCGGUAGCACAGAGAGCUUGCUCUCGGGUGACGAGCGGCGGACGGGUGAGUAAUGUCUGGGAAACUGCCUGAUGGAGGGGGAUAACUACUGGAAACGGUAGCUAAUACCGCAUAACGUCGCAAGACCAAAGUGGGGGACCUUCGGGCCUCAUGCCAUCAGAUGUGCCCAGAUGGGAUUAGCUGGUAGGUGGGGUAACGGCUCACCUAGGCGACGAUCCCUAGCUGGUCUGAGAGGAUGACCAGCCACACUGGAACUGAGACACGGUCCAGACUCCUACGGGAGGCAGCAGUGGGGAAUAUUGCACAAUGGGCGCAAGCCUGAUGCAGCCAUGCCGCGUGUGUGAAGAAGGCCUUCGGGUUGUAAAGCACUUUCAGCGGGGAGGAAGGC